CCUACGGGGGGCAGCAGUGGGGAAUAUUGGACAAUGGGGGGAACCCUGAUCCAGCGACGCCGCGUGAGUGAAGAAGUAUUUCGGUAUGUAAAGCUCUAUCAGCAGGGAAGAAAGAAAUGACGGUACCUGACUAAGAAGCCCCGGCUAACUACGUGCCAGCAGCCGCGGUAAUACGUAGGGGGCACGCGUUAUCCGGAUUUACUGGGUGUAAAGGGAGCGUAGACGGCGAUGCAAGUCUGAAGUGAAAGGCGGGGGCCCAACCUCCGGACUGCUUUGGAAACUGUAUGGCUGGAGUGCAGGAGAGGUAAGUGGAAUUCCUAGUGUAGCGGUGAAAUGCGUAGAGAGUAGGAGGAACACCAGUGGCGAAGGCGGCUUACUGGACUGUAACUGACGUUGAGGCUCGAAAGCGUGGGGAGCAAACAGGAUUAGAUACCCUGGUAGUC
RNAcentral lists this ribosomal RNA (443 nucleotides) under uncultured bacterium. RNAcentral's name for it is "partial 16S ribosomal RNA". It matches the Rfam family "Bacterial small subunit ribosomal RNA", at positions 338 to 795 of the family's 1533-position model. The record is from RNAcentral.